RNAcentral lists this ribosomal RNA (893 nucleotides) under uncultured bacterium. RNAcentral describes it as "bacterial SSU rRNA". It matches the Rfam family "Bacterial small subunit ribosomal RNA", at positions 8 to 916 of the family's 1533-position model. The record is from RNAcentral.
AGAGUUUGAUCCUGGCUCAGGAUAAACGCUGGCGGCGUGCCUAACACAUGCAAGUCGCACGUCCUGGGUCUCUUCGGAGACGCAGGGAGUGGCGGACGGGUGAGUAACACAUGGGUGACCUACCCCCGAGUGAGGAAUACCGGCGAGAAAUCGCCGACAAGACCGCAUAGGCUCUGCCUGCAAAAGGCGAGCAGAGCAAAGUCGCAAGACGCUUGGGGAUGGGCCUGUGGCCGAUUAGCUGGUUGGUGAGGUAAGGGCUCACCAAGGCGACGAUCGGUAGCUGGUCUGAGAGGACGAUCAGCCACACUGGGAUUGAGAACGGCCCAGACUCCUACGGGGGGCAGCAGUGAGGAAUUUUCCGCAAUGGACGCAAGUCUGACGGAGCAACGCCGCGUGCAGGAGGACGCUUCUCGGAGUGUAAACUGCUUUUCUGGGGGACGAGCGAGGACGGUACCCCAGGAAGAAGCCCCGGCUAACUACGUGCCAGCAGCCGCGGUAAUACGUAGGGGGCGAGCGUUGUCCGGAGUUACUGGGCGUAAAGGGCACGCAGGCGGUCCUGCGCGUGUCGCGUGACAGCGGGUGGCUUAACUGCCCGAGGGUGCGACAGACGGUGGGACUUGAGGGCCAGAGAGGGACCUGGAAUUCCGGGUGGAGUGGUGAAAUGCGUAGAUAUCCGGAGGAACACCAAAGGCGAAGGCAGGGUCCUGGCUGGUCGCUGACGCUGAGGUGCGAAAGCUAGGGGAGCGAACGGGAUUAGAUACCCCGGUAGUCCUAGCCGUAAACGAUGACCACCAGGUGUGGGAGGUAUCGACCCCUUCCGCGCCGGCGUUAACACACUAAGUGGUCCGCCUGGGGAGUACGGUCGCAAGAUUAAAACUCAAAGGAAUUGACGG